This is a long non-coding RNA of Physeter macrocephalus (sperm whale), 2168 nucleotides long. RefSeq lists it as uncharacterized. NCBI's taxonomy places the organism in Eukaryota, Metazoa, Chordata, Mammalia, Artiodactyla, Physeteridae. The transcript has 3 exons. The record is from RefSeq and is a predicted model, not a curated record.
CAGUGGUUGCCCUUUAACCCUGUGUGCUUGUCUUUGACAGGUGUCACCUGUGGGCACCACUCAGGGGCACCUGUGAGGCAGGGGACGCGGCGGCCCGUUUGAGGUUCCCAGCGUGGGCUCUGCGCACCGGGCCCUGCUCUGUGCCAGCCUGGCCCCGUCUGCCCACCUCCCGGGCCCUCCUGUCCGAUGGGAAGCAGAGCCGCAUCCCCGCCGAAUCCCCCCACACGGCUGGGCUGGGGCAGCAGGAGGAAUGAUGUGCUCGCGCUCCGAGGGCUCGGGAAGGCGUUGCCUUGGGCGCCCGGAAGUCACGUCCACCAGACGCACUGUCAGGCCUGUAUCUCUCAGCAUCACUGUUGAGACAGAAGCGUUCAGCUGAACCUGUUUUCCGUGCUGCACACACACAGAACCUCUCGUCUUUCUGGGGCCCCCACCCUCGAGGAGCUGCAUAUCUGCACCGCAGAGGAGGUGCCCACGCCGCCCUGCAUCUGUCCCAGGUGAGAGGGGGAGACCCGCCCUCUGAAGGUGCAGCGGCUCCAGGCGUGAGCUGGGGCGCACAGCCGCAGCCCAGGAGGCGUGGAGCAGGGGCCCAGACACCGCGUUCUCUGCCUGCACCCACCGGGGCCUCCGUCCGCCUGGGUUGGGCUCUUGAGCUAGCUUUCCCCGCCUGGGGGGUUUAUUUCUGACAAGCAUGUGAGCUCAAAGGGAGGCCCCAGCCAGCUCUCCCUCCCUCGAGGAGGCUUCCUGCCUCGGCAGGUCGGCUGGCCCUUUACCCACUGUGGUCAGCCAGGCCUGCUGCUGCCUCUGGGCCCAAGGUCGCUGUUGGCUGCGGGAGCACCCGUGUGGGGUGGGAGUGGUUCUAAGGACCUAACGUGUCCUUCCCACCUGGCAGGGCCCCGGGGGCGGUCCUGGCUGUCCGGCUCCCUUGCAGCUCCGGUCCACGGGCUCGGCCUUGAUGGGUUCGGUGCAGAUGCCUCAAGUGGCCGGGGCCCUGCUGCCUCGGCCCCUGCAGGUCGUGGCUCAGCCAGGAGUGCUCGGCCCCUGAGUCUGCAGCAUCCCAACCUCCGUGGGGUGAGCACGCUCCCCGCCUCCCUCCCUGCCUCCCUCUGUGCACAGAGCGUGGGCCUUCCCUCAGAAGCCAGACCCUAAUGAAGGCUUUGUCUUGGUGGCAGACAACUGUCUCCAUCUUGAUCCCCGCUUUUCCUGUCUCACCGCGGUGUGAGGCGGGAGUUCAGGCAGGUCCCUGGGAAUCCAGUGUUUCUCGGUUUCAUCCUCAAGGACCCACCCCCUCCGCACCCAGCAUGCGCUGUCCUUGGUCCUGCCUGGCACGGCCUGGGCCCUGCGUCUCCGGGAUUUGCCAGAAAAUAGUCUCAAAAGGUCCCUGUCACUCCUUCCUUGUUACACUGAUGAAGGUGAGGCUUUGAUCUCUGAACUAGGCCUUUUGUCCUCAGUUACGUGCAGCUGAGUUUCAUCUGUUACAUCAUCUAUGUGCAUAAUUGAGGGUCAAGGAAAGAAGGAAGGGGCUUUGCAAGACUGCUGGGGACCCUGAGGAGCCCCCCGAGCACCCGGUGGCCUCCCCUCCUAGGGGGCCGUCACCAUGAGCCUUGGUGUCACCUGAAGCCGGGCCGUCUGGGUGGCCAGUCUCGGAGCCACUGUGGGAGUGCAGGGAGCCUCCACCGCCAGCCCUGCACCACGCGGGGCCUCCCCGGCCCGUGUCUUUCUGCUGGACGUGGAUGCCAGGCGUCCGAAGGACUGGGUUCUGGGAAGAUCUAGAUAUAGCAGCGCAGCCACUGUGGGCAGCCAGGCGGUGGCAGAGCCAGCCCAGGGACGCCGGCCGGCGCGAGGGCCGUGGCUACUACGCUUGCCUAAAGAUGGCAAAAGAACCAAAAAGGCCCCCCAGCCCCAGUCAGAUGUCUUUCCAAGUGACAGCCCUUAAUUAAAUGUAUUUUAAAAGCUGCUUUCACCAUCCAAGAAGGUAGGAAAUGUAUUUUGAGUAAUACGAGCUUAUUGAAAUAAACUCUCAUAACUUAAAAUCUGGGAAGGACAGUAAAUGUAUCCCUCAAGUGUUCCUAAAUCAGCUCGUCUGCGUCCCUGAGCAGAGUGGGCAACAUGCUUGUUCCAAACUAUCCGGAAUGACCCUUAGAGACCACGGGCUUCGUCUUUGGGGCAGU